CUGAAACAACUAAUCGAUUUAAUCGAUUAUUAAAAUAGUUAACAACUUUUUUAGUCAUCGAUUAGUUGUUUAAUAAUCAUAUUUUACCGCAUAAAGUCUAUUUUUACCACAAUCUGACAUCGGUUACAAGCUGUUAAAUUUGCCGCCAGUGUGUGGCAGUAAUGAGCCACUGAUCUACCAGUGGAGCCGUAGAAGAAGAAAUGAGCCAAUGAGUGCCCUCGGUUUUCAUGACGUAUCACGUUACUGAUGCUCAUCUUGCUGUGAGAGAUGGCGGAACAAGAGGAAAUACGGAAGAAAAAUAGAAGCGACAAAACUGAAGAGAAACCCCGGACAAAAACCUCACGAGUAUGGGAGCACUUCACUCUAGAUGCUUGAAAAGACGGGUGACCUGCAAAAUAUGCAAAAACCAUCUAGCAUGGCACGGAAGCACGACGUCCCUAAGUGAACAUUUGAGACGAAAGCAUGUGGGGGCUGAUGCAGCAGAGGAAGAGCACCGCGGUCAAGUGAGCCGUCAUUUGGAAGAGCCAGCCCGAAAAAAAGCAAGCAACGAUGGACAACUACAUGGGGAACAAGACACUCACCCCCCAGCAAUUCAUACCACUUACAAACUCUAUUCUAAACAUGCUGGUAAAAGACAUGAGGCCACUAUCCAUGGUGGAAGGAGCAGGCUUCCAGCUAAUGCUAAAAAAUUAUUCUGGACUGAUAUUUUGCACUGUUUAGCUCAUUUUAUACUGCUGACUGUGUUCAUGUGCUAUAAAAUAGAUUGCAGUCAACUGC
Long non-coding RNA from Nothobranchius furzeri (turquoise killifish), 777 nucleotides. RefSeq lists it as uncharacterized. Lineage: Eukaryota; Metazoa; Chordata; Actinopteri; Cyprinodontiformes; Nothobranchiidae. The record is from RefSeq and is a predicted model, not a curated record.